GGGUGUGAAAAUUAAAAAAAAAAAACUAUUUAACCGUAUCUGUGUAUGCACGCGUGUGCACACAUUUAAAAGAAAUCUGUGCACCUGGACGAACUCUCAUAGAAGGAAAUCUGCAGUACAUAUAAAAUGAAUAGUUGGCUCUAAGAAACAGACCCCUAGAAUUAAACAGAACUACUAGAGAACAGGUUUUAAAUAAACUAACGUAAAAAAUAGCAGUGUAUGUUUAUGCACCUUGUAACACGAGGUGGUAUCUCCUCCUCUCCCUGCCCGGCCCCAGGUCACAGUCCUGAAGUAAACUUUAAUUUGCUCAUCUUCUAAAUGAGAGAGUGAAAACGCAAUCAUCUGUAUAAAACUCCUCACCUCCCAAAGUUAGCAGAAAAAGGCAAUUAAUUUAUUGUACCAAAGGAGGUGGAAGAGUGGAUUUACGUUAUUGUAAAUAGAAACAUUUGAUUUCCAAGCCUCUCCAUUGCGGAUUUUUCCACCAGAAAGCCCAUAUGGCUCAACUUUUAAUUACUUUGGCUAAUGCUAUAUGUAGUAAUUCUGUGGUGAAUGCUUAAGUGUUUCAUUGCUGGUUUCCAUGGCAACAUUACAUCAGAUUACAGACAGCUGGCUCCACAGUUUUAAACCAUAACAAAUUGACCAAGCCAAGGCACAAAACUAGAGCUGCUUUAAAGAGACAGUGCACCAUUCGCCUGCCAGGGUGCUGAAUGAGGGGCCUAUGGGGCCCACUUGGCAGGCCAAGGAGGGUGGAGCCUCCUUCCUUCUCAGCUUCUCUUGGAACAUGUGCAUCCUUGACACAUCUGCAAUGUUCUAAUGGGAAAGACAUGGGGCCAGCGUGGAGGACUUUUCAUAACACAGCUACGCAGAGGAGGAUCGGAAAAAAAAAGGGAACACAAUUAAUAGCAUCUGUAGACAGAAAAGUGUGUGAGUCGAGCAAACGGAACGGCAGCAUCCCGCGCUCUCCAGCCCGUCCCUGCAGAGCUAUGCCUUAUUGGGUGAGCGUGCUGGGAAAGAAGGCUCGGGGUUCCAUAGCAGGGAAGGAAAGAAGGGAAGGAGGACAAAUCUCGAAGAAGCUGAACAGAAAAGAGGAAAGCAUCCUAGCCGGGAGCAGUCAAAAAAGCUUUUCCUUGCAGGGACAGAAAGCACAUUUUCCCUUUCACGUUAAACACACCCAACG
Long non-coding RNA from Panthera uncia (snow leopard), 1177 nucleotides. RefSeq lists it as uncharacterized. The transcript is spliced from 2 exons. Lineage: Eukaryota; Metazoa; Chordata; Mammalia; Carnivora; Felidae. The record is from RefSeq and is a predicted model, not a curated record.